Molecule: ribosomal RNA, 299 nt
Filed under: Salmonella enterica
Lineage: Bacteria; Pseudomonadati; Pseudomonadota; Gammaproteobacteria; Enterobacterales; Enterobacteriaceae
Also listed under: 2 other names
Description: partial 23S ribosomal RNA
Rfam family: Bacterial large subunit ribosomal RNA
Source: RNAcentral
UAAGCCUGCGAAGGUGGCCUGUGAGGGUUGCUGGAGGUAUCAGAAGUGCGAAUGCUGACAUAAGUAACGAUAAAGCGGGUGAAAAGCCCGCUCGCCGGAAGACCAAGGGUUCCUGUCCAACGUUAAUCGGGGCAGGGUGAGUCGACCCCUAAGGCGAGGCCGAAAGGCGUAGUCGAUGGGAAACGGGUUAAUAUUCCCGUACUUGGUGUUACUGCGAAGGGGGGACGGAGAAGGCUAUGUUGGCCGGGCGACGGUUGUCCCGGUUUAAGCGUGUAGGCUGGUUUUCCAGGCAAAUCCGG